UCCUAUUUUCUAGGGUUAGAUCAAACAUACUUCCUUCUCUCUCUCAUUCAGUCGUUUCUUCUUUCACUCUCACCAUUAACACACAAAAUUUGAACCCUAAUCUAAUGGCGUUUUCGCCGCCGCUGCUACCUCCACCACCGUAAAUCUUCUCUUAGAAAUAUGGGCUGGAAAAAUUGUGGUUCAAUUGAAUGGUAGAUUGAAUAAGUGCGGUGUUAUAAGUCCUCGUUUCGAUAUCCGCGUCAAAGGGGUUGAAGGAUGGACUGCAAGGCUGCUUCCCUCAAGACAGUUUGGAUAUAUUGUCUGGACAACCUCUGCUGGUAUCAUGGAUCAUGAAGAGGCAAGGAGAAAGAAUGCUGGUGGUAAAGUGUUGGGUUUUUUCUACUAGGCUAUGAAGAUGGCACCCUAUUUCAGAUUUUGAUGAGCUCAUAAGUUUUUGAGUGUUAGAGAUUUUUUCUUCUUUUGCAUGGUUAUAUAUUAUAAUCUGGCUUUUACUUAGGACCUUA
Molecule: long non-coding RNA, 503 nt
Organism: Trifolium pratense (red clover)
Lineage: Eukaryota; Viridiplantae; Streptophyta; Magnoliopsida; Fabales; Fabaceae
Exons: 2
Source: RefSeq, a predicted model, not a curated record